RNAcentral lists this ribosomal RNA (478 nucleotides) under uncultured bacterium. RNAcentral describes it as "partial 16S ribosomal RNA". It matches the Rfam family "Bacterial small subunit ribosomal RNA", at positions 28 to 523 of the family's 1533-position model. The record is from RNAcentral.
GACGAACGCUGGCGGCGUGCUUAACACACGCAAGUCGAACGGUAAGGCCCUUCGGGGUACACGAGUGGCGAACGGGUGAGUAACACGUGGGUGAUCUGCCCUGCACUUCGGGAUAAGCCUGGGAAACUGGGUCUAAUACCGGAUAGGACCACUGCCUGCAUGGGUGGUGGUGGAAAGCUUUUGCGGGGUGGGAUGGGCCCGCGGCCUAUCAGCUUGUUGGUGGGGUGAUGGCCUACCAAGGCGACGACGGGUAGCCGGCCUGAGAGGGUGACCGGCCACACUGGGACUGAGAUACGGCCCAGACUCCUACGGGAGGCAGCAGUGGGGAAUACUGCACAAUGGGCGCAAGCCUGAUGCAGCGACGCCGCGUGAGGGAUGACGGCCUUCGGGUUGUAAACCUCUUUCAGCACCGACGAAGCGCAAGUGACGGUAGGUGCAGAAGAAGGACCGGCCAACUACGUGCCAGCCGCCGCGGUAA